This 323-nucleotide ribosomal RNA is filed under the name uncultured eukaryote. RNAcentral's name for it is "partial 18S ribosomal RNA". It matches the Rfam family "Eukaryotic small subunit ribosomal RNA", at positions 1470 to 1796 of the family's 1831-position model. The record is from RNAcentral.
CCCUUAGAUGUUCUGGGCUGCACGCGUGCUACACUGAUAUUGCCAAUAUGUCAUUCUUAUCCGAAAUGGAUUGGGUAAUCAAGUAAUGAAAUUUCAUGCUUGGAAUCGGUAAUUGCAAUUUUAUCGUGAACGAGGAAUUCCUAGUAAGCACUAGUCAUCAGCUAAUGUUGAUUAUGUCCCUGCCCUUUGUACACACCGCCCGUCGCUACUACUGAUUGGGUGUUCAAGUGAGAUGCUUAGACCCUUGUUGCAUGGUUCAUUAUUGUGCUCCGAAAGGAAAAAGUUUCAAGCUUGAUUGUCUAGAGGAAGUAAAAGUCGUAACA